RNAcentral lists this long non-coding RNA (1125 nucleotides) under Pongo abelii (Sumatran orangutan). RNAcentral describes it as "lncRNA (ENSPPYG00000033835.1)". Lineage: Eukaryota; Metazoa; Chordata; Mammalia; Primates; Hominidae. The record is from RNAcentral.
GCAUUCUAGUGGGGCCCUGGUUAUGCCUCUUCUGGCUCAGUCGCACAGCUGCCGGGUAGCUGACUGGAGGCAUUCAGCAGUGCUCACUGGGAUUUCGCUGAUGUGGCCCCAACCCUGCCUCCCUCCCCACCCCGCGAUGUCAGAAAAAACACGACAGGGCAAAUUGGCUGAAGCCAGGAAAAAGAAUGAGAACAAGAGUGCACUGCAGUUGGAGCAGCAAGUAAAGGAGCUGCAGGAGAAGCUGGGCGACCUGAAGGGGACAGUAACCUCCGACCCAUCCAAGAAGGUGGCAUUUUUCAACUCCGCUGGAACCAGUGCCCAGGAGGAGCAAAGGAUGUGCUGCCAGCGCCUGGCUCACCCAGUGGCCUUGUCCCAGAAGGAGCCAGAGGCAGCGGCCCCAGCCCGUGAACUAGGGGAAAGUACAUCACCCCAUAUGGGAGCCAGAGGGCAGUGCCAAAGAUGCAGCACCGGGAGGAGGACAUGAUCAGGCUGGCCCAGGACCAGGAGGAGAUGAAGAUCUUUGUGAGGUGAGCCUCACUGACAGAGUGGAGCCUGCACGAGAAGAGGCCAGGGAGGGUUCUUCCCACGACAACCCCACUGCACAGCAGAUUGUGCAGCUGCUUCCUGUAAUGCAGGACUCCCCAGCAGCACCCAGGCUUGGGCAGCAAUCUCUGUAAGCCAUUCUUUUUGGGCUGCCGAGAACAGGCAGAUAAACACCACCAUCAUCUAAGAGCUGGUCAAGAAAUUAAAAAAAAAAAAAAAGUUAAGGGGUUAAUCUCCUACACAAUUCAUUUACUUCAUUUGAAUGUUAGAGCCACUCAUGUUUAUUUGUGUUUCUAAUUUAUAGUUUAAAUUUUAUUUGUAAAAAGUUAAAGGAGAGCGGGUCUUUCCCUCAUGUUCACUCUGACAUCCUUUAGCAUUUAUUUUUUAAUUUGAUAAUUAUAGGACGUUAGCAUGCAUAUCAAGUUUGCCCUUAUGUGGUGGGAGUUCAAACACACAGAGACCCACUAUUUGCACAAAACUAUUCUUCCUGGCUUGGAAUAGGCUGCCCUACUUUUUUAAUGUUAUUGCAACAUGUAUAUUUAUUAUGGAAUUCAGAUAAAAUUUGCUUAUGUUCUGCUAUUA